Long non-coding RNA from Oreochromis aureus, 272 nucleotides. RefSeq lists it as uncharacterized. The transcript is spliced from 3 exons. The record is from RefSeq and is a predicted model, not a curated record. NCBI's taxonomy places the organism in Eukaryota, Metazoa, Chordata, Actinopteri, Cichliformes, Cichlidae.
AGGAUCAAGUCCUGAGUACUGCUUGUCUUCAGAUGAGGUAGUGACCAGGAAAUGCUCUGAUGAAAUAUUGAAAAGGACACACCAAGACCAGACUAUCUGCUGCCAGUCUGUCAAGUCUGCUUGUAUCCUGUGCUCCAAAUGGCCCUCCCCAGUCUGGCUCCAAAAAGAGAGUGCUUGUUACAAGAAAGAAUGGGCGCUACUACUGAUGUGAAGUACAAGAAAUGGACCCGUGAGCGCCAUCUGGUGGUCAUUUGAUGUUUGACUGACUUCUG